UACAGAGGUCUCGAGCGUUAGGCGGAAUCACUGGGCUUAAAGCGUGUGUAGGCGGGUCGGUAAGUGCCUUGUGAAAUCCCAUGGCUCAACCAUGGAACUGCUGGGCAUACUGGCGAUCUUGUGCCACCUAGGGGCGAGCGGAACAGAUGGUGGAGCGGUGAAAUGCGUAGAUAUCAUCUGGAACGCCAAUGGUGAAAACAGCUCGCUGGGGGUGUGCAGACGCUGAGACACGAAAGCCAGGGGAGCGAACGGG
This 253-nucleotide ribosomal RNA is filed under the name uncultured bacterium. Its description in RNAcentral is "partial 16S ribosomal RNA". It matches the Rfam family "Bacterial small subunit ribosomal RNA", at positions 524 to 776 of the family's 1533-position model. The record is from RNAcentral.